RNAcentral lists this long non-coding RNA (3931 nucleotides) under Homo sapiens (human). Its description in RNAcentral is "HSALNT0244154". The record is from RNAcentral. Lineage: Eukaryota; Metazoa; Chordata; Mammalia; Primates; Hominidae.
CAGCCCCCACCCCACCCGGUGGAAGUCCGAGGCCUGAGGGGGGGCAUCGAGCGGGGCGUGGGAGGCCCGCACGCUCCCCACCCCCAGCCGCGACCCGGAGGAGGGGAACGUGCCGGGAGGCUCGAGUCCCCCUCCCAGAGUGCUCUGGGCCGGAGAAACCUCCCGCAGGCUCCCGGGCCAGGCGUGCAAGGCCCCCUCUCCUGCCAGGGCCCAGGACGCUGCGGGCCCCAGCGGAGGGGAAGGGGACUAAGUAGGGGAAGAAGCUGUAAACAGCCCCAGCGUCCGGGCCUCGCCUCGAAGAGCCGCGCUUCCCAGGCCCAGCCGCGGGCCGCCCAGGCCCCCAGCCUGCCCCGGGGCCGCCGCGCCCGGGGUCCGGGACACCGGAGGGGAGUCGGGUCCCCUCCCCGGAGAGCUCCGGGAGCUCGCGGAGCGGCCCCAGGAGCAGAGAAGGGGGAAGUCAGGACUUACCUGUCAUUACUUUCUACGCCAUCUUGGAUCCACUUGUCAACGUCCCCACAAAGCAUUAUGGGUAAGAAAGAGCCUUUAAAGUGACUCCCCCCGGCCCCCGACUCCCGCCUCCCGCCGCCGGCGCCGCCCCCUCCGGCCGCGCCUCCCGCCCGGAAAGUUGCCCCGGGUGGACUGCCGACCCCGGCGCCCGCAGCUGGCCCCUUCCCCUCCCCCGGGCUGACGGCAUUGAAAAUUCACCCGCAUUUUUAAAACGUGGCUUUGGGGUUUUCUCCCUUUCUCCUGCCCCGGCCUCCCUGCCCCCACGCCCGGUCCUCUCGCCUCGCCGCGUUCCUGCCCGGGCAGACGCCCCGCGUCUGCAUUGAAUCAACCCGAGGUUUCCUUGCCGCCCGCGGCGCGGCGCGGAGCUGCUCGCGGAUUUAUUUGUGCGCGUGGAUGUGAGCGUUUCUGCUCCUGCGGCCGCGCUUCCAGGAAGCCCGCGAGCGGCCGGGGUCGCCUUCAGAGGCCGCGCAGACCAGCUCCGCACCCGCCGCCCGGAGAGGUGCCUCUGCCCUGGGAAACCGCCCCGGGGCCGUUGGGCUCCGGGAACUGGGAGGACGCCGUGUCCCCGAGUCCACCAGCGUCGAAGCACGAUUUAAAAAAAAAAAUUGAGCCAAAUGCAACUUUUUACCCCUUGUUUACUCUGUGUCCCGCGGUCUCCUCCUCCGGGCGGGUAACGUGAUCCGCGACCCUCUAGGUGGGGACCCCUCCCCUAGGAAUGUGGCUCCAGGCUCCGCGGAGCCACCCUGGGAGCGUCCGGGCUGCGGACUGUGACUCCGGGGCAGGCUCUCCCACGGAGCACCCUCUGCUGACUCUGCAGCCCCGCAGGCCUUCCUCGAACAGUCCAUGACAGGAAGCCAGGCUUCCUGGGGUCCUGAGUCAGCAGAGCAGGAAGGAAACAAAGGCCUCAGAACCGCAGAAGAGAAAGAAGGCAGCCUGAAGACAGAAGGCGACCCUCUGAAGACAGGUCUAGAGACUUAACGUAUGAUGUUCCUGGAGUCCUGUUGCCUGUAAGGGAAGCACAAACCCUGAGUUGCACUGUGUCCUCUGACCUGUCUGAUCCCAGAGGUACCUCUUCAGUAGAAAAAUUCAAUAAGGUUUCUGACACUUUCUACCUAUGGGCCAGUUACAUACAGAAGAGAAAACUGAAACUGAAAACUGGUUUGUCAUUUUUACAGAAAGUCACUGCAAAGAAGGAGAAUUCCAAGUGCAAAUGACUUGAGGUGUUGAAUUGAGAACCAGGCAGAUCCACCACCUACAGUAAAGAUGACCCUAAAGUGAAUUGGUUGAAGAAAUUAGAUCCCAAAGAUUCUUGGUGAAUUUUCAAGUCUUCAUCAGUAUAUCCAUAUUAAAAGGAGAUGACAGAAGCCAAAAUAAAAGAAUUAUGGGCUGACGGGACAACUGGAUUAAAAUAAGCAUCAGUUUCGUUAAAAAGGGCUAACUUGAAGAUAAAUCUUUUGACUCCAGCUCUUUAGAGGAUCUAAAGUGACCCUGAUGGACAGUGGAAAAAAUCACAACAUGGAAUCCCUUGGAUAAAAAUCUAUUGACUUUGAAUAAUUUUGCCUAAUGUUACAUAAUACACAAUUAAAAAAAAAAAAAACCUUGGCCAGGCAUGGUGGCUCACACCUGUAAUCCCAGCACUUUGGGAGGCCGAGGUGGGCAGAUCACAAAGUCAAGAGAUCGAGACCAUCCUGGCCAAUAUGGUGAAACCCUGUCUGUACUAAAAAUAACUUACCUGGGCAUGGUGGCACUCGCCUGUAGUCCCAGCUACUCGGGAGGCUGAGGCAGGAGAGUGGCGUGAACCCAGGAGGCGGAGGUUGCAGUGAGCCGAGAUUGCACCACUGCACUCCAGCCUGGGCGAAAAGAGUGAGACUCCGUCUAAAAAAAAAAGAUUAUAGAUAGGCCAAAGCCAAAACCAGGGGUGCAAAAGGGAAAUAAAUCAGGAGCCAAGUACCAAGUGUCAGGAUCAGGAUCCAGAAAGGCAGGAUACAGCAGAGACACUAAAACCAGGACCAUGGUAAAAGUGAGACACUGGAGAAAGAAACCAAAGAGAACACUGUAACCGGGAGCCUAGCUAAUCUUGCAGUUGGAUUGAGAGGCAAACUGGGUGAUUUUUCCACUGGCUGACCUUUUAGAAGUUCCAGACAUGUUCUCCCAAAGGCACUAAGUUCUGGGUCCCAGAGAAGUGGGCUCAUGGCACGGCUGAUCUCAGAGUUGGUGCUUGUGCAGCUCCUGACACAAGGUGCCCCUCUAAAUGAAGAGCCAAGGAGCACACGUUUAUCGAAGGUCUACUUUGCGCCCCUUGUGGCAACACUCAUACUUGGAGGCAGAGGCUACCAUCAGAAUAUAAAUUUUAUCCUCAGGAAGAUGAGAAGACAACUGGCUUAGAAACUAGCUUAGAACAUUUCCAAGUUUGACACAGGGCCAGGGGCUGUCAAGCCUCAACCACAAUGCAAUCAACCACCAGCUCUAUUCCACAGGCGCAUGUCCAGGUCGGCUAAUAAAUGGAAAAGCCAGGAUUAAGAUUCAAGUUUCGUCCGGUCACGGUGGCUCACUCCUGUAAUCCCAGCACCUUGGGAGGCCAAGGCGGGCAGAUCAUGAGGUCAAGAAAUCGAGAUCAUCCUGGCCAACAUGGUGAAACCCCGUCUCUACUAAAAAUAUAAAAAUUAGCUGGGCACAGUGGUGCACGCCUGUAAUCCCAGCUACUUGGGAGGCAGAAGCAGGAGAAUCGCUUGAACCUGGGAGGUGGAGGUUGCAGUGAGCCGAGAUCUCGCCACUGCACUUCAGUCUGGGUGACAGAAUGAGACUCCGUCUCAAAAAAAAAAAAAAAAAAGAUUCAAGUUUCUUAGCCUGGGCAACAACGACGACAAAAAAUUCGGAGCUUAUGGUGGUGCAGGCCUGUAGUCCUAGCUACUCAGCAGGCUGUGGCAGGGGGUGUCACUUGGAGGCUGCAGUGAGCUAUGAUUGCACCACUGCACUCCAGCCUGGGCCACAGAGCAAGAUUCCGUUUCAGAAAAAAAAUAAAUAAAUUUGGGCCGGUCUCGGUGGCUCACGCCUGUAAUCCCAGCACUUUGGGAGACUGAGGCCGGUGGAUCACCUGAGAUCGGGAGUUCGAGGCCAGUCUGACCAACAUGGAGAAAUCCCCGUCUCUACUAAAAAUACAAAAUUAGCUAGGUGUGGUGGCGUAUGCCUGUAGUCCCAGCUACUCAAGAGGCUGAGGCUUGAACCCGGGAGGCAGAGGUUGCGGUGAGCCAAAAUCGCGCCAUUGCACUCCAGCCUGGGCAACAAGAGCGAAACUCCGUCUCAAAAAAAUAAAAUAAAUAAAAUAAAUAAAUUUUAUCAAUCAUGGUGGUGUUUUUUGUUGUUGUUGUUGCUGUUUGACAGGGUCUUAAAAAUAAAUAAUUUAAGUAAAUAAAAAUAAAUAAUU